AAGAACAUGGUACUAGGUGUGCGUGAAGUCUUUGGAGUCUGACAGGCCUGCACUGGAAACCAGCCCUGUCACACAACACUUCCCCAACCUUGGGCGAGUCACACAAAGCCUCUGAGCCUCUAUUUUCCUCAUCUGUGAAAAUGAUCGCUGGAGUAGGUGAGGCUCAGACAAGAUCAUGAACAUGAACGCAUUUUGAAAUUCAUGAGAAAUCUGAGGAAUGCUCUCUGGGACCACCGCCUGGCCUGCCUCUGCCUCAUUGAUUCCAGGGAGACCUUCACUGCCAGAACAUCCCAAGGUAACUCCUCAUUCAGGUUUGAGGGAUUUGCUCCCGGUAAAAAGACUUAUCCAAGUUCUCCCUCCUUUCCUCAGCAAUGAGGCAGCA
This is a long non-coding RNA of Orcinus orca (killer whale), 382 nucleotides long. RefSeq lists it as uncharacterized. The transcript is spliced from 3 exons. The record is from RefSeq and is a predicted model, not a curated record. NCBI's taxonomy places the organism in Eukaryota, Metazoa, Chordata, Mammalia, Artiodactyla, Delphinidae.